AACGAACGCUGGCGGCAGGCUUAACACAUGCAAGUCGAACGCCCCGCAAGGGGAGUGGCAGACGGGUGAGUAACGCGUGGGAACAUACCCUUUCCUGCGGAAUAGCUCUGGGAAACUGGAAUUAAUGCCGCAUACGCCCUACGGGGGAAAGAUUUAUCGGGGAAGGAUUGGCCCGCGUUGGAUUAGCUAGUUGGUGGGGUAAAGGCCUACCAAGGCGACGAUCCAUAGCUGGUCUGAGAGGAUGAUCAGCCACAUUGGGACUGAGACACGGCCCAAACUCCUACGGGAGGCAGCAGUGGGGAAUAUUGGACAAUGGGCGCAAGCCUGAUCCAGCCAUGCCGCGUGAGUGAUAAAGGCCUUAGGGUUGUAAAGCUCUUUCACCGAUGAAGAUAAUGACGGUAGUCGGAGAAGAAGCCCCGGCUAACUUCGUGCCAGCCGCCGCCGUAA
RNAcentral lists this ribosomal RNA (447 nucleotides) under uncultured bacterium. RNAcentral describes it as "partial 16S ribosomal RNA". It matches the Rfam family "Bacterial small subunit ribosomal RNA", at positions 29 to 523 of the family's 1533-position model. The record is from RNAcentral.